Molecule: ribosomal RNA, 253 nt
Filed under: uncultured bacterium
Lineage: Bacteria
Description: partial 16S ribosomal RNA
Rfam family: Bacterial small subunit ribosomal RNA
Source: RNAcentral
UACGAAGGGUGCAAGCGUUACUCGGAAUUACUGGGCGUAAAGCGCACGCAGGUGGCUGAGUCAGUCGAUUGUGAAAGCCCUGGGCUUAACCUGGGAAUUGCAGUCGAUACUACUCAGCUAGAGUAUGGGAGAGGGUAGUGGAAUUCCCGGUGUAGCGGUGAAAUGCGUAGAUAUCUGAAGGAACAUCAGUGGCGAAAGCGACUUCCUGGACCAAUACUGACGCUCAUGUGCGAAAGCGUGGGGAGCAAACAGG